ACGCGAAAGCUCCCUUCGGGGAGCAAGUAGAGUGGCGCACGGGUGAGUAACACGUAGGUAAUCUACCUUUGGAUGGGGAAUAACAACCGGAAACGGUUGCUAAUACCGCAUAAUGCAGCGGCACCUAAUGGUGACAGUUGUUAAAGCGGGGGAUCGAAAGACCUCGCGUCUAAAGAGGAGCCUGCGGCAGAUUAGCUAGUUGGUAAGGUAACGGCUUACCAAGGCGAUGAUCUGUAGCCGGCCUGAGAGGGCGGUCGGCCACACUGACACUGACAUACGGGUCAGACUCCUACGGGAGGCAGCAGUCGGGAAUUUUGGGCAAUGGGCGAAAGCCUGACCCAGCAACGCCGCGUGAAGGAUGAAAUCCCUCGGGAUGUAAACUUCGCAAGAACGGGAAGAAUAAGUGAGGGUUAAUAUCCCUUACGAUGACGGUACUGUUUGUAAGCUCCGGCUAACUCCGUGCCAGCAGCCGCGGUAAUACGGGGGGAGCAAGCGUUG
Molecule: ribosomal RNA, 498 nt
Filed under: uncultured bacterium
Lineage: Bacteria
Description: bacterial SSU rRNA
Rfam family: Bacterial small subunit ribosomal RNA
Source: RNAcentral